RNAcentral lists this ribosomal RNA (264 nucleotides) under uncultured archaeon. RNAcentral's name for it is "partial 16S ribosomal RNA". It matches the Rfam family "Archaeal small subunit ribosomal RNA", at positions 716 to 982 of the family's 1478-position model. The record is from RNAcentral.
ACAGUCACACAUUAGAUACCCCUGUAGUCCCAGCCCUAAACGAUGCGCGUUAGGUGUAUCGGUGACCACGAGUCACCGAGGUGCCGAAGGGAAACCGUGAAACGUGCCGCCUGGGAAGUACGGUCGCAAGGCUGAAACUUAAAGGAAUUGGCGGGGAGCACCACAAGAGGUGGAGGCUGCGGUUCAAUUGGACUCAACGCCGGAAAACUCAUCGGGAGCGACAGCAGUAUGAUUGCCAGGUUGAUGACCUUGCUUGACAAGCUG